This 149-nucleotide ribosomal RNA is filed under the name Oryza sativa Indica Group (long-grained rice). RNAcentral's name for it is "rRNA 5_8S_rRNA". It matches the Rfam family "Bacterial large subunit ribosomal RNA", at positions 13 to 162 of the family's 2925-position model. The record is from RNAcentral. Lineage: Eukaryota; Viridiplantae; Streptophyta; Magnoliopsida; Poales; Poaceae.
AAGGGCACACGGGGGAUGCCUAGGCUCUCAGAGGCGAAGAAGGACGUGAUAAGCUGCGAUAAGCUGCGGGGAUUGGCAAAUGCGACGUGAUCCGUAGAUUUCCGAAUGGGGCAACCUGGCUAUUUGAAGAAUAGCCGUAUAAAACGCGA